UACGUAGGGGGCAAGCGUUGUCCGGAAUCAUUGGGCGUAAAGGGCGCGUAGGCGGCCCUGUGUGUCGGGUGUGAAAGCCCACCUCUUAAAGGUGGAAUUGCAUUCGAAACUACAGGGCUGGAGUGUCGGAGAGGAUGGCGGAAUUCCUGGUGUAGAGGUGAAAUUCGUAGAUAUCAGGAGGAACACCGGUGGCGAAGGCGGCCAUCUGGACGACAACUGACGCUGAGGCGCGAAAGCGUGGGGAUCAAACAGG
This 253-nucleotide ribosomal RNA is filed under the name uncultured bacterium. Its description in RNAcentral is "partial 16S ribosomal RNA". It matches the Rfam family "Bacterial small subunit ribosomal RNA", at positions 524 to 776 of the family's 1533-position model. The record is from RNAcentral.